RNAcentral lists this ribosomal RNA (253 nucleotides) under uncultured bacterium. RNAcentral's name for it is "partial 16S ribosomal RNA". It matches the Rfam family "Bacterial small subunit ribosomal RNA", at positions 524 to 776 of the family's 1533-position model. The record is from RNAcentral.
UACGUAGGGUGCUAGCGUUGUUCGGAAUCAUUGGGCGUAAAGCGCGUGUAGGUGGCUGUGUAAGUCGGAUGUGAAAUCCCUGGGCUCAACCGAGGAAGUGCAUCCGAAACUACAUAGCUCGAGGAUGGUAGAGGAAGGUGGAAUUCCAAGUGUAGAGGUGAAAUUCGUAGAUAUUUGGAGGAAUACCGGCGGCGAAGGCGGCCUUCUGGGCCAUUCCUGACACUGAGACGCGAAAGCGUGGGGAGCAAACAGG